RNAcentral lists this transfer RNA (96 nucleotides) under Ceratocystis platani. It matches the Rfam family "tRNA". Rfam says of the family: Transfer RNA (tRNA) molecules are approximately 80 nucleotides in length. The record is from Rfam by way of RNAcentral. Lineage: Eukaryota; Fungi; Ascomycota; Sordariomycetes; Microascales; Ceratocystidaceae. RNAcentral also lists the same sequence under 1 other name.
GGAUCGAUGGUGUAGUUGGUUAUCACGUUUGUCUAACACUUCAUUCACGGAAUGGAUGGACACAAAAGGUCGGCGGUUCAAGUCCGCCUCGAUUCA